Molecule: ribosomal RNA, 237 nt
Filed under: uncultured Staphylococcus sp.
Lineage: Bacteria; Bacillati; Bacillota; Bacilli; Caryophanales; Staphylococcaceae
Description: partial 16S ribosomal RNA
Rfam family: Bacterial small subunit ribosomal RNA
Source: RNAcentral
CGGGUGAGUAACACGUGGAUAACCUACCUAUAAGACUGGGAUAACUUCGGGAAACCGGAGCUAAUACCGGAUAAUAUUUUGAACCGCAUGGUUCAAAAGUGAAAGACGGUCUUGCUGUCACUUAUAGAUGGAUCCGCGCUGCAUUAGCUAGUUGGUAAGGUAACGGCUUACCAAGGCAACGAUGCAUAGCCGACCUGAGAGGGUGAUCGGCCACACUGGGACUGAGACACGGUCCAG